GGGGAUGUGGCUCAAGCGGUAUCGCGUGCGCGCCUGGCAUGCGUGCGGCCUGGAUUCAAUCCUCAGCACCACA
Molecule: transfer RNA, 73 nt
Filed under: Marmota monax (woodchuck)
Lineage: Eukaryota; Metazoa; Chordata; Mammalia; Rodentia; Sciuridae
Description: tRNA.Ala
Source: RNAcentral